AUACUACUCCUUUCGUUCCGAAUUACUUGUUGCAGGUAUAGAUGUAUCUAGAUGUAUUUAGGUUUUAGAUAUAUCCAUUUCUGCGACGAAUAAUUUGGAAUGAAGGGAGUAGUAU
Molecule: non-coding RNA, 115 nt
Organism: Triticum urartu
Lineage: Eukaryota; Viridiplantae; Streptophyta; Magnoliopsida; Poales; Poaceae
Source: Rfam